CUUAGUGGCGGACGGGUGAGUAACACGUAUCCAACCUGCCGUCUACUCUUGGACAGCCUUCUGAAAGGAAGAUUAAUACAAGAUGGCAUCAUGAGUCCGCAUGUUCACAUGAUUAAAGGUAUUCCGGUAGACGAUGGGGAUGCGUUCCAUUAGGUUGUUGGCGGGGUAACGGCCCACCAAGCCUUCGAUGGAUAGGGGUUCUGAGAGGAAGGUCCCCCACAUUGGAACUGAGACACGGUCCAAACUCCUACGGGAGGCAGCAUG
Molecule: ribosomal RNA, 264 nt
Filed under: uncultured bacterium
Lineage: Bacteria
Description: partial 16S ribosomal RNA
Rfam family: Bacterial small subunit ribosomal RNA
Source: RNAcentral